AGCAGCCGCGGUAAUUCCAGCUCCAAUAGCGUAUAUUAAAGUUGUUGCAGUUAAAAAGCUCGUAGUUGAAUUUCGGGGUCAGUAGGUUGGUCGUGCCACUGGUAUGUACUGGCUUCACUGAUUCCUCCCUCUUGUAGAACCGUAAUGCCAUUAAUUUGGUGUUGCGGGGUAAACAGGACUGUUACUUUGAAAAAAUUAGAGUGUUUAAAGCAGGCUAACGCUUGAAUACAUUAGCAUGGAAUAAUGAAAUAGGACGUUUGAUCCUAUUUUGUUGGUUUCUAGGAUUGACGUAAUGAUUAAUAGGGAUAGUUGGGGGCAUUAGUAUUCAAUUGUCAGAGGUGAAAUUCUUGGAUUUAUUGAAGACUAACUACUGCGAAAGCAAUUUGCCAAGGAUGUUUUCAUUAAUCAAGAACGAAAGUUAGGGGAUCGAAGACGAUCAGAUACCGUCGUAGUCUUAACCAUAAACCUAUGCCGACUAGGGAUCGGAUGAUGUUAAUUUUUAAUGUACUCAUUCGGCGCC
This 520-nucleotide ribosomal RNA is filed under the name uncultured Glomeromycotina. RNAcentral describes it as "SSU rRNA". It matches the Rfam family "Eukaryotic small subunit ribosomal RNA", at positions 569 to 1087 of the family's 1831-position model. Lineage: Eukaryota; Fungi; Glomeromycota. The record is from RNAcentral.